GAGGAUGAAGCAAGGGCAUAACAAGAAUGAGAGGAGGAAGAAGAGGCAGAAAGGAAGCAAUACCCAUCCAGCUCUUAACCUUGGAUGAUCUGGGAAAUAUGCAAAAAGAUUUCAGUCAUUGUCCAGGAUUUGAAAGCAGGUCUGAAGAAAAAGAACUGAGGGCUAUGUGGCUUUGCUUGGUCUUCAUGAUGAAGGAGUGGAGGCAGGUACUGAGUAUCUCCAUGAUUCUCUCUCCUCUCUCAGAAAGUAAUCAGAUCCCUGAGGCCCAUAUCCAAGAACUACCAGUGGAGAGAUGCUGUGCAGGAUUAGAUGGCAAAACAUGCAACAGAACCAGAUGAGCUACUGUGGCCAUCAGUUAAAUAGGAUGCAAGAUAAAUGAGAGAGUGCAGGUAGUAAAACUGAACCGAUGCCUGAGCUCUGAAUUAUAAAAAAGUAGGAAUGUGAGGGCAUGUUAAUAUGACGCCAAUUCCUUUCUUGUCUUUUUCUUUUGACCAAUCUUAGUCCAUCACAGAAACAGAAAGAAUUCCAGAAUUGCUCCCUGCAAGAUAUUGAAGUCUUCAGAGACCAGCACUGGGAUAGGACUAGCGUGCUUUCUCUAAGUGAUCUUAAUUCAUCCUCUGAUAUACAAAGUAGUAAUCAAGACUCUUAGCUCUACACUGAAAAGGUCAAUAAGUACCAUAAGGAGACAUUGACAAGAAAAAGAUGAAAAAACUUUCUUGGGGGCUGCGGGAGCCAAAAAAAAAAACAAAACAAAACAAAACAAAAAAACAACAAAAAAAGCCUUUUUGAAAUUAUUUAGUUACAGUGGUGAGAUAAGCCAGCUACUUGCCUUUGGCAAUUUGAAUGACAAGAAGGUUUUCAAUACCAAUACUGUGAAAUGAUGGUUUCAUCUUUGUGUGUCCAAGCAAGCACUAGACAAGUGACAUUUUCAUAGGAUCAAAAUUAAUAUCAUUCCAGGACUACUACUUUAAAGAGGAUUACAGAAUGCAUCAAAUAAUGUUUAUCUAUUCAUAGCAAAUAAAUAAAUAAAAUCCCAUGCUCUUUAAUUACA
This 1051-nucleotide long non-coding RNA is filed under the name Phasianus colchicus (ring-necked pheasant). Its description in RNAcentral is "lncRNA (ENSPCLG00000018542.1)". The record is from RNAcentral. Lineage: Eukaryota; Metazoa; Chordata; Aves; Galliformes; Phasianidae.